This is a small nuclear RNA of Jaculus jaculus (lesser Egyptian jerboa), 107 nucleotides long. NCBI's taxonomy places the organism in Eukaryota, Metazoa, Chordata, Mammalia, Rodentia, Dipodidae. The record is from Ensembl.
GUGCUCGCUUCGUCAGCAGAUAUACUAAAAUUGGAAUGAUGCGGAGAAGAUUAGCAUGGCCCCUGUGCAAGGAUGAUUCGCAUAUUUGUGAAGCGUUUCAUACUUUU